GAGGGUAGAGUUCAAUGGUAGAGUGUGUGCCUAGCAUGCGUCAAGGUCCUGGGUUCGAUCCCCAGUACCUCCA
This 73-nucleotide transfer RNA is filed under the name Camelus bactrianus (Bactrian camel). It matches the Rfam family "tRNA". Rfam says of the family: Transfer RNA (tRNA) molecules are approximately 80 nucleotides in length. Their secondary structure includes four short double-helical elements and three loops (D, anti-codon, and T loops). RNAcentral also lists the same sequence under 2 other names. Lineage: Eukaryota; Metazoa; Chordata; Mammalia; Artiodactyla; Camelidae. The record is from Rfam by way of RNAcentral.